Molecule: ribosomal RNA, 253 nt
Filed under: uncultured bacterium
Lineage: Bacteria
Description: partial 16S ribosomal RNA
Rfam family: Bacterial small subunit ribosomal RNA
Source: RNAcentral
UACGAAGGGGGCUAGCGUUGUUCGGAAUUACUGGGCGUAAAGCGCACGUAGGCGGUGUUCCAUGUCAGAGGUGAAAGCCUGGGGCUCAACUCCAGAAUUGCCUUUGAAACGGGGACGCUUGAGUCCGAGAGAGGGUGGCGGAAUUCCUAGUGUAGAGGUGAAAUUCGUAGAUAUUAGGAAGAACACCAGUGGCGAAGGCGGCCACCUGGCUCGGUACUGACGCUCAGGUUCGAAAGCGUGGGGAGCAAACAGG